RNAcentral lists this ribosomal RNA (1019 nucleotides) under uncultured bacterium. RNAcentral describes it as "bacterial SSU rRNA". It matches the Rfam family "Bacterial small subunit ribosomal RNA", at positions 9 to 1000 of the family's 1533-position model. The record is from RNAcentral.
GAGUUUGAUCCUGGCUCAGAUUGAACGCUGGCGGCAGGCCUAACACAUGCAAGUCGAGCGGAAACGAGUUAACUGAACCUUCGGGGAACGUUAACGGCGUCGAGCGGCGGACGGGUGAGUAAUGCCUGGGAAAUUGCCCUGAUGUGGGGGAUAACCAUUGGAAACGAUGGCUAAUACCGCAUAAUAGCUUCGGCUCAAAGAGGGGGACCUUCGGGCCUCUCGCGUCAGGAUAUGCCCAGGUGGGAUUAGCUAGUUGGUGAGGUAAUGGCUCACCAAGGCGACGAUCCCUAGCUGGUCUGAGAGGAUGAUCAGCCACACUGGAACUGAGACACGGUCCAGACUCCUACGGGAGGCAGCAGUGGGGAAUAUUGCACAAUGGGCGCAAGCCUGAUGCAGCCAUGCCGCGUGUAUGAAGAAGGCCUUCGGGUUGUAAAGUACUUUCAGCAGUGAGGAAGGUGGGUAUGUUAAUAGCAUACUCAUUUGACGUUAGCUGCAGAAGAAGCACCGGCUAACUCCGUGCCAGCAGCCGCGGUAAUACGGAGGGUGCGAGCGUUAAUCGGAAUUACUGGGCGUAAAGCGCAUGCAGGUGGUUUGUUAAGUCAGAUGUGAAAGCCCGGGGCUCAACCUCGGAAUUGCAUUUGAAACUGGCAAACUAGAGUACUGUAGAGGGGGGUAGAAUUUCAGGUGUAGCGGUGAAAUGCGUAGAGAUCUGAAGGAAUACCGGUGGCGAAGGCGGCCCCCUGGACAGAUACUGACACUCAGAUGCGAAAGCGUGGGGAGCAAACAGGAUUAGAUACCCUGGUAGUCCACGCCGUAAACGAUGUCUACUUGGAGGUUGUGGCCUUGAGCCGUGGCUUUCGGAGCUAACGCGUUAAGUAGACCGCCUGGGGGAGUACGGUCGCAAGAUUAAAAACUCAAAAUGAAUUGGACGGGGGGCCCGCAACAAGCGGGUGGAGCAUGGUGGGUUUAAUUCGAUGCAACGGCGAAAGAACCUUUACCUUAACUCCUUGACAUCUACA